Molecule: ribosomal RNA, 461 nt
Filed under: uncultured bacterium
Lineage: Bacteria
Description: partial 16S ribosomal RNA
Rfam family: Bacterial small subunit ribosomal RNA
Source: RNAcentral
CCUACGGGUGGCAGCAGUGAGGAAUAUUGGUCAAUGGGCGAGAGCCUGAACCAGCCAAGUCGCGUGAAGGAUGAAGGAUCUAUGGUUUGUAAACUUCUUUUAUAUGGGAAUAAAGUGAGGAACGUGUUCCUUUUUGUAUGUACCUUAUGAAUAAGCAUCGGCUUACACCGCGCCAGCACCCGCGGUAAUACGGGGGAGGCGAGCGUUUUCUGGAUUGAUUUGGUUUAAAGGGUGCGUAGGCUGGGAGGUAAGGCAGCGGGGAAAUGCCCCCGCUCAACGGGGUGAAGUGCCAUCGAUACUGCCUGGCUAGAGUGCGGAAGAGGUGGGAAGAAUGUGUGGUGUAGCGGUGAAAUGCGUAGAUAUCACGCAGAACACCGAUUGCGAAGGCGUCUCACGAGUCCGAGAUUGACGCUGAUGCACGAAAGCGUGGGUAGCAAACAGGAUUAGAUACCCGUGUAGUC